ACGGGGUGCAGCAGGCGCGAAAACUUUACAAUGCCUGCAACGGCGAUAAGGGGACCUUGAGUGCCAGGUUACAAAUCUGGCUGGCGUAAUGCCUAAAAAGCAUUGCAUAGCAAGGGCCGGCCAAGACCGAUGCCAGCCGCCGCGGUAACACCGGCGGCUCGAG
This 163-nucleotide ribosomal RNA is filed under the name uncultured archaeon. RNAcentral's name for it is "partial 16S ribosomal RNA". It matches the Rfam family "Archaeal small subunit ribosomal RNA", at positions 325 to 488 of the family's 1478-position model. The record is from RNAcentral.